Molecule: ribosomal RNA, 380 nt
Filed under: uncultured eukaryote
Lineage: Eukaryota
Description: partial 18S ribosomal RNA
Rfam family: Eukaryotic small subunit ribosomal RNA
Source: RNAcentral
CAAAAGCGUAUAUUAAAGUUGUUGCAGUUAAAACGCUCGUAGUCGGGUUUCGGGUCGGGCCGAGCGGUCUGCCGAUGGGUAUGCACUGUUUGGCGCGGCCUUCUUUCCGGAGACCGCGGCUACUCUUAACUGAGCGGGCGUGGGAGACGGAUCGUUUACUUUGAAAAAAUCAGAGUGUUUCAAGCAGGCAGCUCGCUCUUGCAUGGUACAGCAUGGGAUGAUUGAAUAGGACUCCGGUGCUAUUUUGUUGGUUUCGAACACCAGGAGUAAUGAUUAACAGGGACAGUCAGGGGCACUCGUAUUCCGUCGAGAGAGGUGAAAUUCUCAGACCAAUGGAAGACGAACCACUGCGAAAGCAUUUGCCAGGGAUGUUUUCACUG